AAAUAAACGGGGGCAGGACAGAGCGGGGUGCGGAGCUGCUGACCUCCCCUCCCUUGAUUGAUCUGAGGGAUGGAACAGUAAACUCGACGUAUGAUGCGUUGUAUGUACUGUACAAUGGUGAUAUCUGAUGCUGUUGUCAGUUCGGGUCUGCUUGUGUUAUUUUAUUUGUUUAGCAGCUGCAGGCGAGAUUUUACCACGUCCCCGUUCACCACCACCCCCCAACGCGGCUGUAUAUACUAUGUAAUGUAACACGUCGUACAGGACAGUGCAGAGUAGGUAUAGUGUACAGUUCUACAUCAGUUGGAACGUGGUGACAUAACUCUGUAGAUGGAAUAUUUGAUCUGGCGGAUUACUUUUUGGCAAAGGGAUACAGGUGGAAGCAUCGAAAUCAAGAAAAUU
Molecule: small RNA, 399 nt
Filed under: Histoplasma ohiense
Lineage: Eukaryota; Fungi; Ascomycota; Eurotiomycetes; Onygenales; Ajellomycetaceae
Description: hypothetical lncRNA
Source: RNAcentral